GUGGGGAAUAUUGCACAAUGGGCGAAAGCCUGAUGCAGCAACGCCGCGUGAGGGACGACGGCCUUCGGGUUGUAAACCUCUUUUAGUAGGGAAGAAGCGAAAGUGACGGUACCUGCAGAAAAAGCACCGGCUAACUACGUGCCAGCAGCCGCGGUAAUACGUAGGGUGCAAGCAUUAUCCGGAAUUAUUGGGCGUAAAGAGCUCGUAGGCGGUCUGUCGCGUCUGCUGUGAAAACUGGAGGCUCAACCUCCAGCCUGCAGUGGGUACGGGCAGACUAGAGUGCGGUAGGGGGGAUUGGAAUUCCUGGUGUAGCGGUGGAAUGCGCAGAUAUCAGGAGGAACACCGAUGGCGAAGGCAGAUCUCUGGGCCGUAACUGACGCUGAGGAGCGAAAGCGUGGGGAGCGAACAGGAUUAGAUACCCUUGUAGUCC
This 430-nucleotide ribosomal RNA is filed under the name uncultured bacterium. RNAcentral's name for it is "bacterial SSU rRNA". It matches the Rfam family "Bacterial small subunit ribosomal RNA", at positions 354 to 796 of the family's 1533-position model. The record is from RNAcentral.